AGUGAACGCUGGCGGUAGGCCUAACACAUGCAAGUCGAACGGCAGCACCGUAAGAGCUUGCUCUUACGGGUGGCGAGUGGCGGACGUGUGAGGAAUACAUCGUAAUCUACUUUUUCGUGGGGGAUAACGUAGGGAAACUUACUCUAAUACCGCAUACGACCUACGGUUGAAAGCAUGGGAUCUUCUGACCUUGCGCGAUUGAAUGAGCCGAUGUCGGAUUAGCUAGUUGGCGGGGUAAAGGCCCACCAAGGCGACGAUCCGUAGCUGGUCUGAGAGGAUGAUCAGCCACACUGGAACUGAGACACGGUCCAGACUCCUACGGGAGGCAGCAGUGGGGAAUAUUGGACAAUGGGCGCAAGCCUGAUCCAGCCAGACCGCGUGGGUGAAGAAGGCCUUCGGGUUGUAAAGCCCUUUUGUUGGGAAAGAAAAGCAGCAGGUUAAUACCCCGCUGUUCUGACGGUACCCAAAGAAUAAGCACCGGCUAACUUCGUG
This 492-nucleotide ribosomal RNA is filed under the name uncultured bacterium. Its description in RNAcentral is "partial 16S ribosomal RNA". It matches the Rfam family "Bacterial small subunit ribosomal RNA", at positions 29 to 507 of the family's 1533-position model. The record is from RNAcentral.